UGACUGUUUGCUUAAAUUUGGGUCUCAAAGAAUCUUUUUUUAAUUCUGCCUGUACUCUCCACCCCUCUUCUUCUAUUGCUCAGGUUGAAGCAGAAUUUGCCCGUCUUACAUCUGUUGACCUGAAAGGGUUCCUUUUUGCUGUGCUUGACCAUUAUGGAGAGGUUCGUGGAGCUGUACAAAAUCAAGAGCGGCAUAGAAAGGCUAACUAGGCUCAUAAGAUGCUUCGGAGAUGAUAGCCCUACACAAAGGAAGAGGACAGAGGACCUCAUUUUCUAAAGGAAGAUCCCUCACACACUUUCAAGACUGUGAAGCCGACAGGUAUUGAAGACACGUUUUCUAAGAGGAUGAAAGUUGGCAUUGCGAUGGUGAAAGAAGAAGACAUCGAUGUGUUGGUUGUCCUUGAGGCAGUAGUAAUCCUGUCUAAUCUGAGGGAUGUCUCAAGUGCCAUUUCCAUGCUGAUGGGCCUU
Pelmatolapia mariae (spotted tilapia) is the source of this 467-nucleotide long non-coding RNA. RefSeq lists it as uncharacterized. The transcript has 3 exons. NCBI's taxonomy places the organism in Eukaryota, Metazoa, Chordata, Actinopteri, Cichliformes, Cichlidae. The record is from RefSeq and is a predicted model, not a curated record.